UACUACGUCAUCCGGAUGCCCAGCCCAUCUGACCUCUGACCCAGACAUGUCGUCAUCCGGAUUCUCAUUUGCAAGCCCAACCCUUUUCCAAACUGACCUCUGACCCCCAUUAAGCCACUUUCAUACCUAGCACCCUUUACCCACUCACCAGACCACGCCCAGCUACUUUCGGCCUUCAUAUCUAGAGAACCAAGCAAGGCACUGAAAAUCCAAGACCACCACUAGAGAGCACUAAUCAAGGUCUAUCAUCAGUUGAAAGAAAACGCUGUCCGCCGGUGGUACCGAUUGUCAGACAAAAACAACGUAAGUUCGGACAGUGCUGAUAUUCUCACCAGUAAGGACUCCUGCGAAAAUGUAAGAACUGAGCACUAUAGCGGAACUCUUUAGCUAGCUGCAGACCAAAAAUGAAGCUCAAACUUCUAUCAGGCUCUGCACUACACUCAGUUGAACUGAUCUUGUGACUGGCGGACCUUCACACAAACGAAAACCAUCACUGUAAAAACAAAACAUAUAUUUUCAGAUAUCAUACUGGAAAUGUUGCUGAGAAUAAACAAUUGCACACAUUGACAGGAAUAACUUUUUUAUCUCAUCCACACUUUUUUUGGCUCGCAUGACUUUGUAUGAUACAAAGUCUCUAGUUACAUAAUUAUUUGUAUUGUGAACAGAGCAGAGUGCAUAAUAAAAAUUAGUGUCUUUUUGUAUACCUGAAAAUGAAAAUGUUCUGGCCACAUU
This is a long non-coding RNA of Halichondria panicea, 732 nucleotides long. RefSeq lists it as uncharacterized. The transcript has 3 exons. The record is from RefSeq and is a predicted model, not a curated record. Lineage: Eukaryota; Metazoa; Porifera; Demospongiae; Suberitida; Halichondriidae.